AUGUUCUUCACAUACUGCUUAUCUUUAUUUAAUCAUUUCACCAUAUCUCAAAUAAGAAAUGCAUUUGAACCAAUGAAAUUUCAACUCUUAUGCUAUACAAGACUAAAGGAGUUAUUUUGGCCUAUAGCUGAAAAGGAUGGCAUCAUAAUAGAAAUGAGAGUUGGAUGGAUUAUCAGAUACGGAGAAAAAGUCAUCAUAUUAGAUAAUAAGUGGGAAUCCCAGAUGUCUGUCAAUCAGAUCCAUACCUCCAAGACAAGGAAAAUAAAGAUCAAAAUGCACAGAGGUAAGGAUAACUGACGGUCAUAUAAUUUAGUCCAGAUGUAAAUGCUCCAGUGUUUUAGUGAACCAAGGGAUGAGUUGAGCUUUAGAAGGAAUUCAGCAGAAAAGAUGGAGAGGUUAAAGUAAUCAGUAAUUGAAGAGGAAGUUAGAUUAGGAGGAAAUCAGAAGAAAGACUUUUCUACGUAAUUUCACACUGUAGGAAGAAGACCAAGUUUGCUUUGUGACUGAAAGGUGUUGGGUAUAGACCCAAAAUAUGAACGGGAAGAAUGAGAUAUGGUCUCAAGAGAGUAAGGAUCAAAUGUGCUGUUCAGUGCAGAACACAUGUGAAAGAUUUGAAAGGACCUUGGGUGGCAAGCAAAAUCAUCUGACUAUUGUCUCCUAGAACUAGAAACUACAAGACCCCUUCAUUUUUCAAUAUAUGAGAAACUACUGGAUACUAUGUAAAAUUAGAUAUUUUACUACCAGGCAAAAAUAAUCAUCUCAUUUCAGAAGGAAUUUUAAGUGGUUUAUACAUUCCAAAAGCAAUCACUUUUAAGUACUUAUAACAUUUGCAAGAAAGCUUAAUGUUUCAUUUUGCCCAACAGCUAGAUGCUCCAUUUUUUAAAAAAGCUAAACAAAUUCAAGCUGAUUUAACCAACACACACUACAGGGGAGCAGAGAGACCUUCACAAGCAAGAAUUAAAAAGCUUGGUAUAAAAGAAAAACUCAAUGAAUUUAUCAUGAGGAAAACUGUUAUACAUAGAUCUGCCAAAGUCAACUUUUCAUCUACUAUAAAAGUUUGUGUUCUUUCCUGUUGAUGGUAAAUAUGAAUUGACCUAUAAUACUUUUAUUUACCAGAACAAUACUGAUUUUCAUUAUUGAAAUAUUCAAAUGGUGACUGGGUUGUCAAGUUCAUCAAAGAAAUUAUAUAUUGACUGUGACACAGCUUUAUUGGUAAGUGAUUUCUUGCAUGUUUAUCCUUUUGAAAUUAUGAAUAACAUAGUUUUAAAUUGUAAGAUAUUUUAGACUAAAUAUAUAUAUAUGCCAGGAUUUAUGGUAGGCUUUGGAGAUAAUAAAAUCUUAAAUAGUAUUCCA
Molecule: long non-coding RNA, 1353 nt
Filed under: Mus spicilegus (steppe mouse)
Lineage: Eukaryota; Metazoa; Chordata; Mammalia; Rodentia; Muridae
Description: lncRNA (ENSMSIG00000002393.1)
Source: RNAcentral